GAAAGUGCGAAACGUAAUGUGAAUUGCAGAAUUCAGUGAAUCAUCGAAUCUUUGAACGCAUCUUGCGCCCCUUGGUAUUCCGAGGGGCAUGCCUGUUUGAGUGUCGUGAACUUCCAUCGACCCUGGACUUUGUAAUGGGGUCUCGGGGCGGAUUUGGGCGCUGCGGGUCCCGUUCGCGGUCCGCUCGUCUUGAAAUGCAUCAGCCGGUCUGUAAUGCCUCGGUCUGACGGCGGCGUGAUAAGGUGUUCGUGCCGUAAUCGUCGUCUGCGAUCGGGGGGGAUGGCCCGGCUUCUAAUGGUCUUCGGACGGCUUCAUUGUGAUCUGACCUCAAAUCAGGUAGGACUACCCGCUGAACUUAA
RNAcentral lists this unclassified non-coding RNA (359 nucleotides) under uncultured Gomphaceae. Its description in RNAcentral is "sequence contains ITS1". The stretch from base 1 to 106 matches the Rfam family "5.8S ribosomal RNA", at positions 49 to 154 of the family's 154-position model. The record is from RNAcentral. Lineage: Eukaryota; Fungi; Basidiomycota; Agaricomycetes; Gomphales; Gomphaceae.